Molecule: transfer RNA, 73 nt
Filed under: Harpegnathos saltator (Jerdon's jumping ant)
Lineage: Eukaryota; Metazoa; Arthropoda; Insecta; Hymenoptera; Formicidae
Rfam family: tRNA
About the family: Transfer RNA (tRNA) molecules are approximately 80 nucleotides in length.
Source: Rfam by way of RNAcentral
CGUCAGGUAGCUCAGUGGUUUAGAGCAGUCGCCCGGCAAGCGAAAGACCCGGGUUCGAUUCCCGGGCUAGCGA